RNAcentral lists this ribosomal RNA (274 nucleotides) under uncultured bacterium. RNAcentral's name for it is "partial 16S ribosomal RNA". It matches the Rfam family "Archaeal small subunit ribosomal RNA", at positions 473 to 747 of the family's 1478-position model. The record is from RNAcentral.
AAACCAGCACCUCAAGUGGUCAGGAUGAUUAUUGGGCCUAAAGCAUCCGUAGCCGGCUCUGUAAGUUUUCGGUUAAAUCUGUACGCUUAACGUACAGGCUGCCGAGAAUACUGCAGAGCUAGGGAGUGGGAGAGGUAGACGGUACUCGGGAGGAAGUGGUAAAAUGCUUUGAUCUCUCGAUGACCACCUGUGGCGAAGGCGGUCUACCAGAACACGUCCGACGGUGAGGGAUGAAAGCUGGGGGAGCAAACCGGAUUAGAAACCCCAGUAGUCC